This 78-nucleotide non-coding RNA is filed under the name uncultured Marvinbryantia sp. Its description in RNAcentral is "Cyclic di-GMP-I riboswitch". The stretch from base 8 to 77 matches the Rfam family "c-di-GMP-I riboswitch aptamer", at positions 12 to 85 of the family's 87-position model. From Rfam's summary of the family: GEMM was predicted in a large-scale screen for bacterial structured RNA regulatory elements. Genes associated with GEMM are involved in a diverse array of functions, including chemotaxis regulation, signal transduction, secretion and chitin. The record is from RNAcentral. Lineage: Bacteria; Bacillati; Bacillota; Clostridia; Lachnospirales; Lachnospiraceae.
GAUCAUAGCAAACUUAUCGAAAGAUAAGGACGCAAAGCCAAGGGUCUACGGUUUUAUACUAUGACAGCCGGUUGCCGC